GUUAGCUCAGUUGGCAGAGCACCGGACUUUUAAUCCGGGUGUCCCGGGUUCAAGUCCCGG
RNAcentral lists this transfer RNA (60 nucleotides) under Synergistes jonesii. It matches the Rfam family "tRNA", at positions 8 to 63 of the family's 71-position model. From Rfam's summary of the family: Transfer RNA (tRNA) molecules are approximately 80 nucleotides in length. Their secondary structure includes four short double-helical elements and three loops (D, anti-codon, and T loops). Lineage: Bacteria; Thermotogati; Synergistota; Synergistia; Synergistales; Synergistaceae. The record is from RNAcentral. RNAcentral also lists the same sequence under 2 other names.